CUUUUGUAUGUACAUGCUGUACUAAAAUUGGAACGAUAUAGAGAAGAUUAGCAUGACCCCUGCGCAAGGAUAACAAGUACUAUGAGCAAAAGCUUAUGUGUAUUU
Small nuclear RNA from Orchesella cincta, 105 nucleotides. NCBI's taxonomy places the organism in Eukaryota, Metazoa, Arthropoda, Collembola, Entomobryomorpha, Orchesellidae. The record is from Rfam.